This 69-nucleotide transfer RNA is filed under the name Normichthys operosus (multipore searsid). Its description in RNAcentral is "tRNA-Trp". It matches the Rfam family "tRNA". Rfam says of the family: Transfer RNA (tRNA) molecules are approximately 80 nucleotides in length. Their secondary structure includes four short double-helical elements and three loops (D, anti-codon, and T loops). Further hydrogen bonds mediate the characteristic L-shaped molecular structure. tRNAs have two regions of fundamental functional importance: the anti-codon, which is responsible for specific mRNA codon recognition, and the 3' end, to which the tRNAs corresponding amino acid is attached (by aminoacyl-tRNA synthetases). tRNAs cope with the degeneracy of the genetic code in two manners: having more than one tRNA (with a specific anti-codon) for a particular amino acid; and 'wobble' base-pairing, i.e. permitting non-standard base-pairing at the 3rd anti-codon position. Lineage: Eukaryota; Metazoa; Chordata; Actinopteri; Alepocephaliformes; Platytroctidae. The record is from RNAcentral.
GAGGCUUAGGAUAACAUAAGACCAAGGGCCUUCAAAGCCCUAAACAGGAGUGAAAAUCUCCUAGCCCCU